This 330-nucleotide ribosomal RNA is filed under the name uncultured eukaryote. RNAcentral's name for it is "partial 18S ribosomal RNA". It matches the Rfam family "Eukaryotic small subunit ribosomal RNA", at positions 1470 to 1796 of the family's 1831-position model. The record is from RNAcentral.
CCCUUAGAUGUCCUGGGCCGCACGCGCGUUACACUGAUGCAUUCAACGAGUCUAAAACCUGGUCUGAUAGGGCUGGGUAAUCUUUUGAAAGUGCAUCGUGAUUGGGAUAGAUGAUUGCAAUUCUUCAUCUUCAACGAGGAAUGCCUAGUAAACGCAAGUCAUCAGCUUGCAUUGAUUACGUCCCUGCCCUUUGUACACACCGCCCGUCGCUCCUACCGAUUGAAUGAUCCGAUGAAUACCAUGGAUUGAGAGUACGAAUGGGUUCGCUCAUUUCUGCUGCUCGAGAAGUGGAGUAAAUCUUAUCAUUUAGAGGAAGGAGAAGUCGUAACA